UUAAACUGCUACCAAGACUGCAUUUGAUAGACUCAGCUGUGUGCCUCCCUCAUAUUCUUAGAUGGAGUUUAGUGCAGUACGGUACAUAUAAUGAACCUCAAAUGUUUGGUUAUUUUGCAAAAAAAUGUUUCAGCAUGGUCAAAAUUUCAAUUGAUAUAUUAUACAUCGUUGUAUCUAAAUCCCAUUAUUCUAUCUUCAACUUGUCUCCAGCUGGAGUUAAUGAAAAUUUCCAUUCUCUCCAACCUUAUGAUAAUUAUAGUAUUUACUUGGUUUUUUUCUUGGUUCAUUAAUACUAUGCAAGAGUUGAAGCGGAAGGAAGAUGCUGCUGCAAGAGCCGGUAUUGUUCUUGAGGCAAAGAAUUGGCCACUGGUCUUCCCAAUAAUCCAUCAUGAUAUUGCGAAUGAAAUACCAAUUCAUCUGUAGAGGCUGCAAUACUGGCUUUUACAACCUUCAUAGGGCUGUUUGCAUGUCUCCUAAGGAAUAUAAUUGCUGUCACUACUGCAUGGAUUAAAAAUGGAG
Long non-coding RNA from Ipomoea nil (Japanese morning glory), 519 nucleotides. RefSeq lists it as uncharacterized. The record is from RefSeq and is a predicted model, not a curated record. NCBI's taxonomy places the organism in Eukaryota, Viridiplantae, Streptophyta, Magnoliopsida, Solanales, Convolvulaceae. The transcript has 3 exons.